Molecule: ribosomal RNA, 465 nt
Filed under: uncultured bacterium
Lineage: Bacteria
Description: partial 16S ribosomal RNA
Rfam family: Bacterial small subunit ribosomal RNA
Source: RNAcentral
GACGAACGCUGGCGGCGUGCUUAACACAUGCAAGUCGAACGGAAAGGCCCUGCUUGCGGGGUCCUCGAGUGGCGAACGGGUGAGUAACACGUGGGUGAUCUGCCCUGCACUUCGGGAUAAGCCUGGGAAACUGGGUCUAAUACCGGAUAGGAGCCAUUUUUAGUGUGAUGGUUGGAAAGUUUUUUCGGUGUAGGAUGAGCUCGCGGCCUAUCAGCUUGUUGGUGGGGUAAUGGCCUACCAAGGCGGCGACGGGUAGCCGGCCUGAGAGGGUGGACGGCCACAUUGGGACUGAGAUACGGCCCAGACUCCUACGGGAGGCAGCAGUGGGGAAUAUUGCACAAUGGGCGCAAGCCUGAUGCAGCGACGCCGCGUGGGGGAUGACGGCCUUCGGGUUGUAAACCGCUUUCGCCAGGGACGAAGCUUUUUGUGACGGUACCUAGAGAAGAAGCACCGGCUAACUACGUG